GUGAAUCAUCGAAUCUUUGAACGCAAAUUGCACUCCUUUCGGAGAGUAUGCCUGUUUGAGGGUCAGCCUAAAAAAAACCGACAUAGCCGCUGUUUUGUGGUGUCAUUUGUUGGAAAUUGGGUCUUGUUAAACCUUUGGGCUUUAAGCGGCCUAAACUUUUUGUUAUGACUCCAUGUACGUUUUUAAGAUUU
Molecule: unclassified non-coding RNA, 191 nt
Filed under: Glomus sp.
Lineage: Eukaryota; Fungi; Glomeromycota; Glomeromycetes; Glomerales; Glomeraceae
Description: partial contains 5.8S ribosomal RNA and internal transcribed spacer 2
Rfam family: 5.8S ribosomal RNA (bases 1-65)
Source: RNAcentral